AACGAACGCUGGCGGCAUGCCUAACACAUGCAAGUCGAACGAGACCUUCGGGUCUAGUGGCGCACGGGUGCGUAACGCGUGGGAACCUGCCCUUAGGUUCGGAAUAACUCCCCGAAAGGGGUGCUAAUACCGGAUAAUGUCUUCGGACCAAAGAUUUAUCGCCUUUGGUUGGGCCCGCGUUGGUUUAGCUAGUUGGUAGGGUAAAAGCCUACCAAGAUGACGAUCCAUAGCUGGUCUGAGAGGAUGAUCAGCCACACAGGGACUGAGACACGGCCCAGAAUCCUACGGGAGGCAGCAGGGGGGAAUAUUGGACAAUGGGCGAAAGCCUGAUCCAGCAAUGCCGCGUGAGUGAUGAAGGCCUUAGGGUUGUAAAGCUCUUUUACCCGGGAUGAUAAUGACAGUACCGGGAGAAUAAGCGCCGGCUAACUCCGUG
RNAcentral lists this ribosomal RNA (433 nucleotides) under uncultured bacterium. RNAcentral's name for it is "partial 16S ribosomal RNA". It matches the Rfam family "Bacterial small subunit ribosomal RNA", at positions 29 to 507 of the family's 1533-position model. The record is from RNAcentral.